This 465-nucleotide ribosomal RNA is filed under the name uncultured bacterium. RNAcentral's name for it is "partial 16S ribosomal RNA". It matches the Rfam family "Bacterial small subunit ribosomal RNA", at positions 28 to 507 of the family's 1533-position model. The record is from RNAcentral.
GAUGAACGCUGGCGGCGUGCUUAACACAUGCAAGUCGAACGGAAAGGCCCAAGCUUGCUUGGGUACUCGAGUGGCGAACGGGUGAGUAACACGUGGGUGAUCUGCCCUGCACUUCGGGAUAAGCCUGGGAAACUGGGUCUAAUACCGGAUAGGACCACAUUUUGGAUGGUGUGGUGGAAAGUUUUUCGGUGUGGGAUGAGCUCGCGGCCUAUCAGCUUGUUGGUGGGGUAAUGGCCUACCAAGGCGUCGACGGGUAGCCGGCCUGAGAGGGUGUACGGUCACAUUGGGACUGAGAUACGGCCCAGACUCCUACGGGAGGCAGCAGUGGGGAAUAUUGCACAAUGGGCGCAAGCCUGAUGCAGCGACGCCGCGUGGGGGAUGACGGCCUUCGGGUUGUAAACUCCUUUCGCUAGGGACGAAGCGCAAGUGACGGUACCUGGAGAAGAAGCACCGGCUAACUACGUG